UGGGGAAUCUUGGACAAUGGGGGCAACCCUGAUCCAGCCAUGCCGCGUGAGUGAUGAAGGCCUUAGGGUCGUAAAGCUCUUUCGCCUGUGAAGAUAAUGACGGUAGCAGGUAAAGAAACCCCGGCUAACUCCGUGCCAGCAGCCGCGGUAAUACGGAGGGGGUUAGCGUUGUUCGGAAUUACUGGGCGUAAAGCGCACGUAGGCGGACCAGAAAGUUGGGGGUGAAAUCCCGGGGGCUCAACCCCGGAACUGCCUCCAAAACUAUUGGUCUAGAGUUCGAGAGAGGUGAGUGGAAUUCCAAGUGUAGAGGUGAAAAUUCGUAGAUAUUUGGAGGAACACCAGUGGCGAAGGCGGCUCACUGGCUCGAUACUGACGCUGAGGUGCGAAAGUGUGGGGAGCAAAACAGGAUUAGAUACCCUGGUAGUCCACACCGUAAAACGAUGAAUGCCAGUCGUCGGGUAGCAUGCUAUUCGGUGACACACCUAACGGAUUAAGCAUUCCGCCUGGGAGUACGGUCGCAAGAUUAAAACUCAAAGGAAUUG
This 542-nucleotide ribosomal RNA is filed under the name uncultured bacterium. RNAcentral describes it as "bacterial SSU rRNA". It matches the Rfam family "Bacterial small subunit ribosomal RNA", at positions 355 to 912 of the family's 1533-position model. The record is from RNAcentral.